GGGCGGUUAGCUCAGUUGGUUAGAGCGUUGCUUUGACAUAGCAAAGGUCGUAGGUUCAAGUCCUAUACCGCCCA
This 74-nucleotide transfer RNA is filed under the name Chloroflexota bacterium. RNAcentral describes it as "Chloroflexi bacterium (groundwater metagenome) tRNA-Val". It matches the Rfam family "tRNA". From Rfam's summary of the family: Transfer RNA (tRNA) molecules are approximately 80 nucleotides in length. Their secondary structure includes four short double-helical elements and three loops (D, anti-codon, and T loops). Lineage: Bacteria; Bacillati; Chloroflexota. The record is from RNAcentral.